Molecule: ribosomal RNA, 253 nt
Filed under: uncultured bacterium
Lineage: Bacteria
Description: partial 16S ribosomal RNA
Rfam family: Bacterial small subunit ribosomal RNA
Source: RNAcentral
UACGUAGGGGGCUAGCGUUGUCCGGAAUCAUUGGGCGUAAAGAGCGUGUAGGCGGCCCGGUAAGUCCGCUGUGAAAGUCGGGGGCUCAACCCUCGAAUGCCGGUGGAUACUGUCGGGCUAGAGUGCGGAAGAGGCGAGUGGAAUUCCUGGUGUAGCGGUGAAAUGCGCAGAUAUCAGGAGGAACACCAAUUGCGAAGGCAGCUCGCUGGGACGUAACUGACGCUGAUGCGCGAAAGCCAGGGGAGCGAACGGG